Fukomys damarensis (Damara mole-rat) is the source of this 134-nucleotide non-coding RNA. NCBI's taxonomy places the organism in Eukaryota, Metazoa, Chordata, Mammalia, Rodentia, Bathyergidae. The record is from Rfam.
AGUUUUGCCUGGUGGCAGAAUCGUACUCAUUUAGGUUUAUCUGAGGUGUGAUUAUUGCUAAUUGAAAAUCUUCCCAAUAACCUUCUGUGACAACUUGAAAUUUCGUCAGCAUUGAAUUUUUUUAAUUAAAAAAA